This 388-nucleotide ribosomal RNA is filed under the name uncultured bacterium. RNAcentral's name for it is "bacterial SSU rRNA". It matches the Rfam family "Bacterial small subunit ribosomal RNA", at positions 29 to 408 of the family's 1533-position model. The record is from RNAcentral.
AACGAACGCUGGCGGCGCGCCUAACACAUGCAAGUCGAACGAGAAGGCGUAGCAAUACGCUUGUACAGUGGCGAACGGGUGAGGAACACGUGGGUAACCUACCCUCGAGUGGGGAAUAACCAACCGAAAGGUUGGCUAAUGCCGCGUAAGCUUCCAUCUCUUCGGAGGUGGAAGGAAAGCUGUACCGUGGGUACAGCGCUCAAGGAUGGGCUCACGUCCUAUCAGCUUGUUGGAGGGUAACGGCCUACCAAGGCAACGACGGGUAGCUGGUCUGAGAGGACGAUCAGCCACACUGGCACUGCGACACGGGCCAGACUCCUACGGGAGGCAGCAGUGAGGAAUAUUGCGCAAUGGGCGAAAGCCUGACGCAGCGACGCCGCGUGGGGGA